Molecule: long non-coding RNA, 554 nt
Organism: Psammomys obesus (fat sand rat)
Lineage: Eukaryota; Metazoa; Chordata; Mammalia; Rodentia; Muridae
Exons: 3
Source: RefSeq, a predicted model, not a curated record
AGAAUCUUGCACAAGAAUUCCUGGAGGACAAGGGUUCAGGAUCAUCCUUCAAAGAAGCUAACUCCAGGUGGACUCUGGCCCUUGAAAUGAAGAUGAGACAGAAGAACAGAACGGGAAAGAAACAUUUUCCCUCCUGUCCCAGCUAGGUUCCUACCUAGGAAUUCCCUUCCUCCCGUGCACCUCUGAGACCCAGAGUCGCCGCCUCUACCUGUACGCAGAGGUUCCCCAGCGCCGAUAUCAAACCCCGGGGCCACGCGCAAAGGGAUCUGCCACCGCUACACCACCCAGCUUCAAAUGUGCUCUUUAACUGAGCUUGAACUCCGUGCGAACAGAUCUCCGUCAACGCUCUCAGUGCCGUUGCAAGAAUACCUGCUCCAGCAUCCAUCAGCGACGGGCAAUGCGCUCAAUACCACCGCAGGCCAGCAGGGGGCAGACGAUGACCAGCUUUCUCACCACCCAACAGCCUCAACAGCCAGGACAGGCGAGCAGAUUUGUAGGCAAUAAAUCCAAGCGGCCAGGGCCAGGCCAGGAAUGGCUUUAAAUCUGUGGUUCGU